Molecule: long non-coding RNA, 1329 nt
Organism: Brassica napus (rape)
Lineage: Eukaryota; Viridiplantae; Streptophyta; Magnoliopsida; Brassicales; Brassicaceae
Exons: 2
Source: RefSeq, a predicted model, not a curated record
ACCAUAGUGCCACAAUCGCUAAACUCUCAGUGUAGUUUUUGAAAAUCAGCGAGUCUAAUAACGUCAUUUAACAUUAGUAAAGAUAUCUCAGUCACAAAUCCUAUCUUCUUCUUCGGCACAAAAAAAGUUUAGCUUCUUUUGGUCUAAUGUGUUGUAUGUUGGUAAUUACUCCGAUUUUUGAGUUUUGAAUCCAAUCCAAGAAUUAAUGCUUGUUUGAGCUCACUUUGUUUGGAACGAGGAUGCUUUUUCAAGGUACUUCUCUGAAAUGCUUAACAUCUAUGUUCCUAACAUUUGAUGAAACUCAACUAUACAUAUGCAAAAAUGGAAAAGAGUUUAUUAAAACGCACCAUUCAUUGCUUUCCGUGCGUAACCCGUCAUGGUCUGACCAUUGAAUCCCCAACUUCUUGGGCCUCGGCUGAGGAACUAAUCCGUAAUGUUCUGCAUCCCUCUUCAUGGCUACCAUUUCAACCCUCACUUGUUGAGCAUUCCAGCCUAUAACAAACACACGGAUCAUGUGUCAAAAUAAUGCUAAUUGUGGCACACAAAAACAUUUACAUCAUGUCAUAAAGAAGUUCCGAGGUUAGUAAGUUAGUAUCAUGCCUCCAUUGAAGCAAGUUUCUUCUCGGCAUCUCUCUGAGCUUGUCGAGCACUGUCCACUUCACCCUGCCAUGCUUGAAUCUGCAUAAUUAGAGUAUUUCUAAGAUGUGAAACGACUACAGUAGAAGAAUUAAGGUAUGAUACAUGACUUAUCAGAGUUACCAAGGGAUCGUAAAUACUUUUUGCAUAUAAGUUCUUGGUUUUUACUUCUAACAAAAAAAUUAAAGUGUGCAAAGAGCUCACAAUUCACAAUUGAAGUUAACUUCCACAACGUAGAGCAUGAUAACCUAAAAAUACAUACAUGUGUCACUUGGUUUGGUUCAUCCGGAGAUUUCGUUUGCCCUCUGCGAGCACGAACUUCCAUAUCUUGCAACUCUUGAUCCAGAGAUGUACAUUCCACCUGCGUAUCAUUUGCCAAUUCUUCUAAUGAAGUUCAAAUAUAUGAUAAUGGGGGAACAAAAUGAGAGGCUAGAAACCUGAAGGGACGACAAUUUUCCUUCGUUCAGAGCAGCCUGGUUUUUCAAGGCAUCCAUUGUGCUGACAAGUGCUUCUUUCUACCUCUGAGUUCGUAGCUGCUAGUGCCUCAACCAUGCUUGACUCUACUUUCGACACUUUUCUUUUAGAAGAUGAUAAAUAUUUUUGUAACUAUCUAAUGCUAGCUUCAUAUGACUUGGUCAGCUCUUGCUAUAACAGUAAAAAAAAUGAAGAAAUAAAAUUAGGUGGCUUCAAGUA